Molecule: long non-coding RNA, 322 nt
Filed under: Sinocyclocheilus grahami
Lineage: Eukaryota; Metazoa; Chordata; Actinopteri; Cypriniformes; Cyprinidae
Description: lncRNA (ENSSGRG00000037846.1)
Source: RNAcentral
CUGGCCUACUGCCAUAAAGACUUUUAUUAUGACACAGCCAAUCAAAUUCUGUACAUCCUAGAGAAGAAGCUUCAAAACGCUGGCCAGUUCAUCUCCAUUCUCUUACACUCAAUGGCCUACAUAACCUCAGGCUCAGAAUCUCUUGAAUUCAUAAAAGCCUUCCACUUGGCUGUAUCGGCAUUAAGCAUGCAGUUGUUUCAUCACUCUUUCACUGAGGACCAGAGGAAAGGAAAGAUGAUUGAGGAAAACACACAGAAGGCCUUUGGAACAUUAGUAGAGGACUUCUUCACUGUAAAAAUACCCACUGAAACCCAUUUCGCUG